RNAcentral lists this ribosomal RNA (400 nucleotides) under uncultured microorganism. Its description in RNAcentral is "bacterial SSU rRNA". It matches the Rfam family "Archaeal small subunit ribosomal RNA", at positions 330 to 731 of the family's 1478-position model. The record is from RNAcentral.
GCGCAGCAGGCGCGAAACUUUACAAUGCGGGAAACCGCGAUAAGGGGACACCGAGUGCCAGCAUAUUAUGUUGGCUGUCCACAUGUGUAAACGGCAUGUGUUAGCAAGGGCCGGGCAAGACCGGUGCCAGCCGCCGCGGUAACACCGGCGGCCCGAGUGGUAAUCACUUUUAUUGGGUCUAAAGGGUCCGUAGCCGGUUUGAUCAGUUCUUCGGGAAAUCUGACAGCUCAACUGUUAGGCUUCCGGGGAAUACUGUCAGACUUGGGACCGGGAGAGGUAAGAGGUACUACAGGGGUAGGAGUGAAAUCUUGUAAUCCCUGUGGGACCACCAGUGGCGAAGGCGUCUUACCAGAACGGGUCCGACGGUGAGGGACGAAAGCUGGGGGCACGAACCGGAUUA